RNAcentral lists this ribosomal RNA (570 nucleotides) under Triticum aestivum (bread wheat). Its description in RNAcentral is "partial small subunit ribosomal RNA". The record is from RNAcentral. Lineage: Eukaryota; Viridiplantae; Streptophyta; Magnoliopsida; Poales; Poaceae.
AUGUUGUUGAAUCCACCACCUUCAGAAGCUCUGAAAAGAAUGCACAUGCUUGCUUGUAACCCCGGCAUAAUUGCGAUCAUGAACAAGGUUUUUCAGCAUAGAUGGCGAGUGGGAAUCAUGACUGAAGUGGCACCAGUGGGAUAUGUAUGUGUUAGUCCAAAAUGCAUUCUAGGCUUCAAUAAGAACAUAGGAGAGGAGAUGCCCCUUCGCCUACGAACUGAUGAUUUGAAAGGAUUUCGGAAGUACGAAAGUAUCAAGAAAACUCUGCUCCAUGAACUUGCUCAUAUGGUGCACUCUGAGCAUGAUGCCCACUUUUUCGCUCUUAAUAAGCAGUUGAAUGAGGAAGCUGGGUCCUUGGACUGGACCAAAUCAAGUGGACAUGUGCUGAGUGGCCACAAAAUAUCUGAUUCCUAUGAAGAUGCGUUUGAUUUAAACGGAAGCUCGUGUUGUCGGUCACAAGCUUGGGGGCGGAUCGAGUUCACUGGCAAGUGCCUGUGUGUUGCAAGGAGUAGCUGCUUAUCAGCUUCUCUUGAGUGCAUCAUCAACAGAUUUGGGGAGUUCCCACAGUAG